AAAAUCACGAUAAAAAGGAAAGUAAAUCUUACACUGCAAUCAUCAGAGAGUUCCCAUUUGCUGAAAGGGAACAUUGAAAGAAAGAUUGAAAAUGGCCUUGGAGUGGUGGCAUCGAUAUUGAGGUGUCAACGGGAUCGCCCGUUAUAGCGAUACAGUAUUAAAGUCUCUUUAGUGAUGAUGGCGUACUGGAAUUUGUUCACCAAUUUUACUGCCAUUAUAUCUUCUUGUAGGAGACUCGUACUUAUAGAGGUAAUGUCAGUAAUGUCAUUGCGAACAAAGGUGGUACCGCGAGCUAAGCUUUCGUCCUUUAC
RNAcentral lists this non-coding RNA (311 nucleotides) under Staphylococcus aureus. RNAcentral's name for it is "T-box sequence". It matches the Rfam family "T-box leader". Rfam says of the family: Uncharged tRNA acts as the effector for transcription antitermination of genes in the T-box leader family. T-boxes are found upstream of many aminoacyl-tRNA synthetase genes and some amino acid biosynthetic genes usually in Gram-positive bacteria. The anticodon of a specific tRNA base pairs to a specifier sequence within the T-box motif, and the NCCA acceptor tail of the tRNA base pairs to a conserved bulge in the T-box antiterminator hairpin. Lineage: Bacteria; Bacillati; Bacillota; Bacilli; Caryophanales; Staphylococcaceae. The record is from RNAcentral.